GGGUAAAUGAAGAAAAAUCAAUGUCAUGAAGAGAGAUGAUGUCAUAAAAAACAAGCAAAAGAAGGUUGAGCUGAGGCUC
Arvicola amphibius (Eurasian water vole) is the source of this 79-nucleotide small nucleolar RNA. RefSeq annotates it as small nucleolar RNA SNORD115. The transcript has a single exon. Lineage: Eukaryota; Metazoa; Chordata; Mammalia; Rodentia; Cricetidae. The record is from RefSeq and is a predicted model, not a curated record.